Molecule: ribosomal RNA, 87 nt
Filed under: Caryodes dufresnii
Lineage: Eukaryota; Metazoa; Mollusca; Gastropoda; Stylommatophora; Caryodidae
Description: partial 5.8S ribosomal RNA
Rfam family: 5.8S ribosomal RNA
About the family: 5.8S ribosomal RNA (5.8S rRNA) is a component of the large subunit of the eukaryotic ribosome.
Source: RNAcentral
AUUGCAGAACACAUUGAACAUCGAUAUCUUGAACGCAUAUGGCGGCCUCGGGUCCAUCCCGAGGCCACGCCCGUCUGAGGGUCGGCG